AGGCGGUUCUUUAAGUCUGAUGUGAAAUCUUGCGGCUCAACCGCAAACGUGCAUUGGAAACUGGAGGACUUGAGUGCAGAAGAGGAGAGUGGAAUUCCACGUGUAGCGGUGAAAUGCGUAGAGAUGUGGAGGAACACCAGUGGCGAAGGCGACUCUCUGGUCUGUAACUGACGCUGAGGAGCGAAAGCGUGGGGAGCGAACAGGAUUAGAUACCCUGGUAGUCCACGCCGUAAACGAUGAGUGCUAGGUGUUAGGGGGUUUCCGCCCCUUAGUGCUGAAGUUAACGCAUUAAGCACUCCGCCUGGGGAGUACGGCCGCAAGGCUGAAACUCAAAAGAAUUGACGGGGACCCGCACAAGCGGUGGAGCAUGUGGUUUAAUUCGAAGCAACGCGAAGAACCUUACCAGGUCUUGACAUCCUUUGACCGCUCUAGAGAUAGAGUUUUCCCUUCGGGGACAAAGUGACAGGUGGUGCAUGGUUGUCGUCAGCUCGUGUCGUGAGAUGUUGGGUUAAGUCCCGCAACGAGCGCAACCCUUAAUCUUAGUUGCCAGCAUUCAGUUGGGCACUCUAAGGUGACUGCCGGUGACAAACCGGAGGAAGGUGGGGAUGACGUCAAAUCAUCAUGCCCCUUAUGACCUGGGCUACACACGUGCUACAAUGGACGGAACAAAGGGAAGCGAACCCGCGAGGUCCAGCAAAUCCCAUAAAACCGUUCUCAGUU
RNAcentral lists this ribosomal RNA (720 nucleotides) under Oceanobacillus oncorhynchi. RNAcentral's name for it is "bacterial SSU rRNA". It matches the Rfam family "Bacterial small subunit ribosomal RNA", at positions 573 to 1293 of the family's 1533-position model. Lineage: Bacteria; Bacillati; Bacillota; Bacilli; Caryophanales; Bacillaceae. The record is from RNAcentral.